UGAUCACUAGGUUGACAAAAA
Non-coding RNA from Caenorhabditis elegans, 21 nucleotides. The record is from Ensembl. Lineage: Eukaryota; Metazoa; Nematoda; Chromadorea; Rhabditida; Rhabditidae.